RNAcentral lists this ribosomal RNA (776 nucleotides) under uncultured Neocallimastigales. RNAcentral describes it as "partial large subunit ribosomal RNA". It matches the Rfam family "Eukaryotic large subunit ribosomal RNA", at positions 22 to 649 of the family's 3401-position model. Lineage: Eukaryota; Fungi; Neocallimastigomycota; Neocallimastigomycetes; Neocallimastigales. The record is from RNAcentral.
GUACACGCUGUGACUAGCAUAUCAAUAAGCGGAGGAAAAGAAACUAACAAGGAUUCCCUCAGUAACGGCGAGUGAAGCGGGAAGAGCUCAAAUUUGAAAUCUUGAAAGGUCACCUUUCACGAAUUGUAGUUUAAAGAAGUGUUUUCUGUUACGAUCGUAAUAUAAGUUCUUUGGAAUAGGACAUCACAGAGGGUGAGAAUCCCGUCUAUGAUUGCGAUUUGUAGCUUUGUGAUACACUUUCAAAGAGUCGGGUUGUUUGGGAAUGCAGCCCAAAACGGGAGGUAAAUUUCUUCUAAGGCUAAAUAUUGGCGAGAGACCGAUAGCGAACAAGUACCGUGAGGGAAAGAUGAAAAGAACUUUGAAAAGAGAGUUAAACAGUACGUGAAAUUGUCAAAAGGGAAGCGUUUGACACCAGUGUUGUUUUCUCGAAAAUCAAUUAAAAAUGGCUCGAUUUUGUAUUGCUUGAGACCUUAAAAGCUCACUGUACAUUUUUCGUGUCUUUUUUAAUGCACUUUUCGUUUAACAAGUCAACAUCCAGUUUCUUUUGUUGUAAAAGGGUCAUUGGAAGGUGGCUUUCUUUUCGGAGAAAGUGUUUAUAGCCUUUGGCCUCUGCAAUCGGAGAGACUGAGGUCUGCAGCGUAGACUCUUCGGGGUUAGAUACAUUUGUGCUAAGUUAUAGCUUUUUAUAGACAACUUGUUGACUAUAAUUAGUCUUGUAGCUUACUCGCUUAUGCUAUUUUACCUACGCUUAGGAUGUUGAGUAGCGACAUACGCAC